UAACACAUGCAAGUCGGACGAGAUCUUCGGAUCUAGUGGCGGACGGGUGAGUAACGCGUGGGAACGUGCCCUUUGCUACGGAAUAGUCCCGGGAAACUGGGUUUAAUACCGUAUACGCCCUUCGGGGGAAAGAUUUAUCGGCAAAGGAUCGGCCCGCGUUGGAUUAGGUAGUUGGUGGGGUAAUGGCCUACCAAGCCGACGAUCCAUAGCUGGUUUGAGAGGAUGAUCAGCCACACUGGGACUGAGACACGGCCCAGACUCCUACGGGAGGCAGCAGUGGGGAAUCUUAGACAAUGGGGGAAACCCUGAUCUAGCCACGCCGCGUGAGCGAUGAAGGCCUUAGGGUUGUAAAGCUCUUUCGCUGGGGAAGAUAAUGACGGUACCCAGUAAAGAAGCCCCGGCUAACUCCGUGCCAGCAGCCGCGGUAAUACGGAGGGGGCUAGCGUUGUUCGGAAUUACUGGGCGUAAAGCGCGCGUAGGCGGAUUGGAAAGUUGGGGGUGAAAUCCCGGGGCUCAACCCCGGAACUGCCUCCAAAACUAUCAGUCUGGAGUUCGAGAGAGGUGAGUGGAAUUCCGAGUGUAGAGGUGAAAUUCGUAGAUAUUCGGAGGAACACCAGUGGCGAAGGCGGCUCACUGGCUCGAUACUGACGCUGAGGUGCGAAAGUGUGGGGAGCAAACAGGAUUAGAUACCCUGGUAGUCCACACCGUAAACGAUGAAUGCCAGACGUCGGG
Molecule: ribosomal RNA, 732 nt
Filed under: uncultured bacterium
Lineage: Bacteria
Description: bacterial SSU rRNA
Rfam family: Bacterial small subunit ribosomal RNA
Source: RNAcentral